Triticum dicoccoides is the source of this 3029-nucleotide long non-coding RNA. RefSeq lists it as uncharacterized. The record is from RefSeq and is a predicted model, not a curated record. The transcript has 8 exons. Lineage: Eukaryota; Viridiplantae; Streptophyta; Magnoliopsida; Poales; Poaceae.
CCCCGAGUGACCCAUCUGCCCUAUCCCUAACCCGCUCUCGUCUCCCUCUAGGACGCAGCAACCCACCGAAUCAAAUCCCGUCGCCGGGCUCGUCUGCCUCGCCGUGGCCGAUGAAUGCGUCGGCUGCGGCCACGCCCCCUCUCCAAACGGCGGCGAUGAUGGAGGGAGCAGCUCACGCUGCCAGGCUCCCGACCGAACGCGUCGGGUCCUCUCUCCUCGAGGCCAACCCCUCCUAUUCAUCGCAUCUCUCCCUGACUCCGUCUCCUCCACGAGAUCAAGAUGUAGCACCAACCCACGCCAUGGACGCCCUUGCCAGCUGCAUCUCUCCAUGCGCCGCCACUCCUAUGACACCGCCGCCCGGCAGUCUCCACCAGCACCACGACGGGCGUGGCCUCUGCACGCGCCGUCACCUCCCCUCCAGAUCCGGUCGUCGUCGAGGGCAUAUCCAUCCAGCAGUGCGGCGUCACCUCCCCUCCAGAUCCAGCCAUCGUCAAGGGCGUGUCCAUCCAGCAGCGCGCCGUCAUCCCAAUCAUCACCGUCCACGGCGUCAUCGCCCAGGCCCAGUCAGGGGCCGGCAAGACCUCCAUGAUCUCCCUCUUUGUCUGCCAGGUCAUUGAGACCAACGUCCACGAGUGAUUUCUGCAUAGCUUUUGUGUAUGACGGCUGGAGGACCAACUCAGACCUCGCUUGCCUCAGGGUCAGGAGGUCCAAGGCGCCACAAGACCGGGCCAGGAGUUUGUGUAAACCUGGGCCAGGAGUUUAUUUGAUAAAGGUUUCAAUUUGCGCCCCAUUUCAUGGAUUAACGAUGCCAAGAGCAUACCAUUUAUACAAAGUCCCAAGAUCGAUGUCUUCUCACAUAUCUCACAUAAUAACUACUUGUGCUCUGUUUUUUUCUUUGUAUUCGGUUUCCAGAAUGAUUGGCCACACCUACCUAAUAAGUUCGGAAUUUAACCAUGAGCCCCUUCUGGCUUGGUUCCAUAUUCCAAGGCCCUUCCAUAAUCCAAUUCUUUGUCCCGAACCAUCCAUUGAAGAACAUAGAGUGUGCAGAAUAUCAGUUUGUUAUAUUUGCAUCAAAUGAACUAUGGGAGCACUUGAACAAUCAGGAAGUUGUGGAUAUAGUUCAUUGUUCACCUCGGAAUGUAAGAUGAUUUGCCAUACUUCCUCAUAUAUUACUCUUUCCCAGUGUACUAAAAUAUGCUUCUCAUUUUAGUCUUGCCUUAUAUUGUUGAUAUGUAACCCAAAUAGGUUAAACCGAAUGCUGUAUCGAAACAUGUAGUAUUUACUUGUAAAAGAGCAACUGAGAGCCUGGUGGGUCGGGAUGAAGGAAGAAUACCCCUGAGAGCCCAAACUCAAGUUCGAAAAUAUAUGCAGAAUAUAUGUUUGCCUCUGCUAUAUACAUAUGUAAUUUUCCAGUCUGUGUUUUCUGCUCCUCUUUGGCGCAAUGUGGAAGAUGUUGGUUUUAAAGGCUAGCAGGGCAGCCAGUGGUGGAGUAAUCAGUCGUUUAUGAGGUCAUGGAGCCCAAGACCGGAUGCAGCAGAAGAAGCAGCGUCGUUGCCGUGCACUAAGAAGGUCAACAGAGUCUGUGAGGCGGAAGAUCCAUAGCAUACAGCGGAUGCGUUGGAUAUGCCAUUCCUCAAUGUGUACCUGGAUUCUCUUUGGGCACCUAAUUUUUGGGCAGGUGUUAUGCUAGCAGCCCGCUUCGCUUUGGUCUUCAGAUUAAGCAAUUCUCUGCAUUCAAGGGAAAUGUCAAUAGCUGCUCUCCAAAGCCAACGUCGGUCUGUAGUCAUCUGCUGCGUCAGGUUGGCCACGACGAGGAGACGGACGCGACUGCGUCGUCCCAUCGACCUCCGGGGCCUUUGAUAUCUCAGGGUGUGUGUCAUGUUAUGUUGGGUUUCCUGUGAUUUCGGUGCGGGUAGCUACAUAGCGUCCGUGGGCCAUGCGUGUGACAUGCAUGCUAGGUAAUCUUGACUCCGGUGCAACGGUGCUGGAACCGCCUCCGCUGGUUACGACCGCCGUGGCUAUGCUUGAAGGCAGAAUCACCACGAUGACUGUAGUGGCCGCACUCAGAUCAGAACGGCAGCCACGGUAUAUGAUCAAGCCUUUACUGUCGUCCUUUGAAUUUGGGAUCACGUGCAUCUGCAAGAGAAAGAGCAUGAGAGCCUAAGAGGGUAGUACCACAUUACGAACAAGUUGUUUUUUAUCCAUGGAAUUGAUCUGAUGCGAAGCUGAUGCCACAUAAAAGGCAUCUAGCUGCAGGCGGAAUAACAAGAUUCAGUGUGUGCAACGACAACAAUAAAUAACAUGUCAUUAGGGAGACUUCUGACAAUUGAACCCUGCAUUUUUUUGGCAUUAGUACAACUCUUCUACUGCAUUAUUCAACUAUGGGCGAUGAAGCUGAUAUAGGGUGUGGACUAGACAAUUUAUUCAGUUUUCUUCAAGAAGGACCAAGGAAUGAACACGAAGCAAAUUAUAACUCUCAGGUUCAUGGUUUAGGAGCAGGAAAGAACACUUCCAAUUGUGUAGAUGGGUCAUCCGUAGCAUUUCUCUAAUUAUCCUUAUAGAGACUGAUUUGGAUUGUUGAAGGAAAGGAUCUCAAUUCUCAAUAGCAAACCGCACUGGGACAUCUUGGACCUAUUCUCCACAUUUCUGAGCUAGAUAUGUUGGUGAGCGAGCAGGCGGCGCUAGACAUGGCAGGGCAAGAGAGCACGAGGGAGAAUGUCAAAGGGGGCAACAUAAAUGAGAGUUCACCAUUAUGCUCGUGUGGUCAGAACCUAGAGCAUGGAUACAAGACCUCCAUCAUCGUCUAUGGACAUCAGAGCAGAGGAGAAGUGAUGAUGGACAUCAGACCAGUGAAGACAGUGAGCAUGGGCUCCUAGACGAUACUUAUCAUAUCAUAUUCUCAGUAUAUAGUCAAAAACUGUAUGCCACAUACGUUGUGAAUUACUAUGUUAUUUGAUCAUUGAAUUUAUUUCUAAAAAAAUAUGUGGCAACACACGACAUUCAACUAUAACUUCAACUUCAAGGGUGAA